RNAcentral lists this ribosomal RNA (301 nucleotides) under uncultured bacterium. Its description in RNAcentral is "partial 16S ribosomal RNA". It matches the Rfam family "Bacterial small subunit ribosomal RNA", at positions 509 to 807 of the family's 1533-position model. The record is from RNAcentral.
CAGUCGCCGCGGUAAUACAGAGGAUGCAAGCGUUAUCCGGAAUGAUUGGGCGUAAAGCGCGCGUAGGUGGUUUGGUAAGAUGGAUGUGAAAUCCCCGGGCUCAACCUGGGAACUGCAUCCAUAACUGCCUGACUAGAGUACGGUAGAGGGUGGUGGAAUUUCCUGUGUAGCGGUGAAAUGCGUAGAUAUAGGAAGGAACACCAGUGGCGAAGGCGACCACCUGGACUGAUACUGACACUGAGGUGCGAAAGCGUGGGGAGCAAACAGGAUUAGAUACCCCUGUAGUCCCUGUCUCUUAUAC